AGAGUUUGAUCCUGGCUCAGGACGAACGCUGGCGGCGCGCCUAACACAUGCAAGUCGAACGAGCGAGAGAGAGCUUGCUUUCUCGAGCGAGUGGCGAACGGGUGAGUAACGCGUGAGGAACCUGCCUCAAAGAGGGGGACAACAGUUGGAAACGACUGCUAAUACCGCAUAAGCCCACAGCUCGGCAUCGAGCAGAGGGAAAAGGAGCAAUCCGCUUUGAGAUGGCCUCGCGUCCGAUUAGCUAGUUGGUGAGGUAACGGCCCACCAAGGCGACGAUCGGUAGCCGGACUGAGAGGUUGAACGGCCACAUUGGGACUGAGACACGGCCCAGACUCCUACGGGAGGCAGCAGUGGGGAAUAUUGCACAAUGGGGGAAACCCUGAUGCAGCGACGCCGCGUGGAGGAAGAAGGUCUUCGGAUUGUAAACUCCUGCUGUUGAGGAAGAUAAUGACGGUACUCAACAAGGAAGUGACGGCUAACUACGUGCCAGCAGCCGCGGUAAAACGUAGGUCACAAGCGUUGUCCGGAAUUACUGGGUGUAAAGGGAGCGCAGGCGGGAAGGCAAGUUGGAAGUGAAAUCCAUGGGCUCAACCCAUGAACUGCUUUCAAAACUGUUUUUCUUGAGUAGUGCAGAGGUAGGCGGAAUUCCCGGUGUAGCGGUGGAAUGCGUACAUAUCGGGAGGAACACCAGUGGCGAAGGCGGCCUACUGGGCACCAACUGACGCUGAGGCUCGAAAGUGUGGGUAGCAAACAGGAUUAGAUACCCUGGUAGUCCACACUGUAAACGAUGAUUACUAGGUGUUGGAGGAUUGACCCCUUCAGUGCCGCAGUUAACACAAUAAGUAAUCCACCUGGGGAGUACGACCGCAAGGUUGAAACUCAAAGGAAUUGACGGGGCCCGCACAAGCAGUGGAGUAUGUGGUUUAAUUCGACGCAACGCGAAGAACCUUACCAAGUCUUGACAUCCUGCGACGCACAUAGAAAUAUGUGUUUCCUUCGGGACGCAGAGACAGGUGGUGCAUGGUUGUCGUCAGCUCGUGUCGUGAGAUGUUGGGUUAAGUCCCGCAACGAGCGCAACCCUUAUGGUCAGUUACUACGCAAGAGGACUCUGGCCAGACUGCCGUUGACAAAACGGAGGAAGGUGGGGAUGACGUCAAAUCAUCAUGCCCUUUAUGACUUGGGCUACACACGUACUACAAUGGCGUUAAACAAAGAGAAGCAAGACCGCGAGGUGGAGCAAAACUCAGAAACAACGUCCCAGUUCGGACUGCAGGCUGCAACUCGCCUGCACGAAGUCGGAAUUGCUAGUAAUCGCAGAUCAGCAUGCUGCGGUGAAUACGUUCNCCGGGCCUUGUACACACGGCCCGUC
This 1369-nucleotide ribosomal RNA is filed under the name uncultured bacterium. RNAcentral describes it as "bacterial SSU rRNA". It matches the Rfam family "Bacterial small subunit ribosomal RNA". The record is from RNAcentral.